Molecule: ribosomal RNA, 377 nt
Filed under: uncultured bacterium
Lineage: Bacteria
Description: bacterial SSU rRNA
Rfam family: Bacterial small subunit ribosomal RNA
Source: RNAcentral
UAAAACGUAGGUGGCGAGCGUUAUCCGGAUUUACUGGGCGUAAAGCGUGUGCAGGUGGACUGAUAAGUGGUGUAUGAAAUCGCCGCGCUCAACGUGGCGGGGUUAUGCCAGACUGUCAGUCUAGAGGUCGAGAGAGGGAUGUGGAAUUCCGGGUGUAGUGGUGAAAUGCGUAGAGAUCCGGAGGAACCCCAGAGGCGAAGGCGGCAUCCUGGCUCGACACUGACACUCAGACACGACAGCAUGGGGAGCGAACGGGAUUAGAAACCCCGGUAGUCCAUGCCGUAAACGAUGCCAACUAGGCGCUGGAGGUCUCAACCCCUUCGGUGCCGCAGCAAACGCGAUAAGUUGGCCGCCUGGGGAGUACGGCCGCAAGGCUA